UCUGCGAGAAAGUAAACAAAAAGCCAGAAAUAGAAAAGCACAGAUAUGUGGUUGACCAAUGUUAGAGAAACAACCGAGGCAGGCGGGAACAUGCCAGGAGGGAAGGUUACAGUGACAAAGUGAGGUCUCAUUGAGGAGAAAUUAUGUCCUAGAGUUUAAAUAUUUUAUCCUGCUCAAGUCACCGUUCAUAAAAGUUCCUGAUUCUCAGAGGUUUCACUGAGAUAAUCAAGGAGAACUUAGAGACAGUGGACUGGUCAGAGGCACAUUUAUAAUCUAAAAAGAAGACACCUCUCUGCAAAGCCUGUGGUUCUGAAAAGUACUAAGCUGUUUUUUCUCAGAAAUAAGGAGGUUGCCAGUGUCAUGCGCCCAAACAGCUCCUUUUCAGAUCAUGGCCCUGAGGGUACAUCAGAAAUCACAAGACUGUGAGUGCUGACUGCCAGUGACCUGCAAAAUCUUGCAGUUUUUGGAAGCCUGUUCCAUCUCCUGUGUAAUCAGGAAACGUAAACCUGUGUGCGACCAGCAAGGUACUGAUAAUCUUCAGCCAGGCAAAUAAUGCAAGACCCCAUUAGUGCACUUUUUCUUCAUAUUUUUGAUUUUUAGGUGUUCACUUAUGCUGAAUAAUCUUUGUCUGAUUGUAAUAACUUCUAAAUUGGCAACAUUUAGAGAAUAAACAGCCAGUGCUUUUUCA
RNAcentral lists this long non-coding RNA (688 nucleotides) under Columba livia (rock pigeon). RNAcentral's name for it is "partial uncharacterized LOC102093359". Lineage: Eukaryota; Metazoa; Chordata; Aves; Columbiformes; Columbidae. The record is from RNAcentral.